RNAcentral lists this transfer RNA (99 nucleotides) under Paniegekko madjo. RNAcentral's name for it is "tRNA-Asx". Lineage: Eukaryota; Metazoa; Chordata; Lepidosauria; Squamata; Diplodactylidae. The record is from RNAcentral.
GCCUUGAUCCCGUAAACCUUUAGUUAACAACUAAAAACCUAAACCAGCGGGCUUCAAUCUACUUCUCCCGUUAUAAAAAAACGGGAGAAGCCCCGGCAC